AGAAGGAAUCAGGAGGCAGAGCACAUGGUUAAAGCAUGAGAUGUGAAACCAGGAAGAACCAGGUCUGAAUCUUAGCUCCACCAGUGGUAGCUCCAAACCUUAGUCCUUUCUGAGCCUGCUUCUUCAACCCUAAGGGAACACUACACUUCCUUAAAAAUUAAGAGUGUGUGCUACACUGCUUUACUAGAGCAAGACCAAAAGCAGCUUCAAUUAUGGUACAACUGUGUGAAGACACAAUGCAAAACCACUCAAGAAUGCUCACUCAAAUGGAUCUUUUACGAUGGAAUUCGGAAACGGGACCCAGAAAGUUGUUUCCUGCAAGUGGCUGGAACAACACAAGCAAUAAUUCUCUGCAUCUUAAUUCCCUCAUCUGUAAAAUGGAAAUAAUACACCUACCUUCUCAGUUUACUGUGAGGAAAAAAUGAAUCAACACAUAUAUAAAGCACCUGGCACAGUGCGUGGCAUAUGAGGUUCCUUGGGAAUUCCUUCAGAAGUUAAAUAGUUUACCCAAGGUGUCACAACUACGUAAGGUGGCCCAGCUCAAGAUUCAAAUGCAAGUUCAUAUGACUCUGAA
RNAcentral lists this non-coding RNA (574 nucleotides) under Pongo abelii (Sumatran orangutan). Lineage: Eukaryota; Metazoa; Chordata; Mammalia; Primates; Hominidae. The record is from RNAcentral.